Molecule: ribosomal RNA, 184 nt
Filed under: uncultured Glomus
Lineage: Eukaryota; Fungi; Glomeromycota; Glomeromycetes; Glomerales; Glomeraceae
Description: partial 18S ribosomal RNA
Rfam family: Eukaryotic small subunit ribosomal RNA
Source: RNAcentral
AGCAGCCGCGGUAAUUCCAGCUCCAAUAGCGUAUAUUAAAGUUGUUGCAGUUAAAAAGCUCGUAGUUGAAUUUCGGGGUUAGUAGGUUGGUCAUGCCUCUGGUAUGUACUGGUCUCACUGAUUCCUCCUUCCUUAUGAACCGUAAUGCCAUUAAUUUGGUGUUGCGGGAAAUUUGGACUGUUAC